UGCGACGAGUUGGCCACUGUCCAGGGUGUGCCCUGCCUAAGGCCCGAAGUCACUGGGAUAGGCUCCAGUCACCCGCGACCCCCUAACGGGGACCAAGCGGUAGAAAAUGGAUGGAUGGAUGGAUGUACAUACACAGCUAGUGCUACAGGAUUUGCAUUUAACCCUAAAAUCUGUCUUAUCAUUUGUUUUUAUCAUCGUGUUUUUAUGAGGAGUGUAUUUUUCACGCUGUACAGUUCAUGUUGGUCCUUGUGUUGAACUUGUUUGUACAAUUAACUACUGUAUUCUGAUAUUUACACUUGCAGAUAAAUAAAUCCAUGACAGUUUGGUGAAUGUGCCACAUCUGCAACAGACAACAAAAACAAAACAACCAAAAAUCCCUCAGAAAGUGGGAACCAGGAGACCAGCUCCUCCUGAGUGAAGAGCUUCAGAGCCUCGAUCUACGGCAGAGACCACAACGGGUUAAAACCACAGACCAGGACCAGAGACCUGCAGCCACCCCAGCUGUUUAUUGUAGGUAACGCACGUCCAAACUGAAGUCCGACAACAGAUCCGUGGUCACGAGACGACGCCUGACGAAGAUCAAUAAAUCGUUUCAUUAAAUUAGCUGGCAGCUGAUUAUCAGUACAGUGUGCCCAUCUUUUGUCUGACUUUUGUCUUCAUUCUUGUCCUCUGAAAUAAGAAAGCUCUAAACACAAGGCCAGGAGAUGUGACUGAAAGCUUUGGAAAUACCAAGUAAGUGGACCUUGUGUUUAAGAAUUUAUGUCAUAUUUACGUCAGCCAACCAUUAAUCGCAAUCGCGUGUGCUUACACUCAGAAUUACACAGGGGAAGUAUAGUGCACUAUAAAGUAAACAGGGAGGGAUUUUGUGUUCUCAGACUGAUUCUGGAUCAGAUCCGGGUCUUGCGG
This is a long non-coding RNA of Siniperca chuatsi (mandarin fish), 906 nucleotides long. RefSeq lists it as uncharacterized. Lineage: Eukaryota; Metazoa; Chordata; Actinopteri; Centrarchiformes; Sinipercidae. The transcript is spliced from 3 exons. The record is from RefSeq and is a predicted model, not a curated record.